Molecule: ribosomal RNA, 1530 nt
Filed under: Citrobacter koseri
Lineage: Bacteria; Pseudomonadati; Pseudomonadota; Gammaproteobacteria; Enterobacterales; Enterobacteriaceae
Description: bacterial SSU rRNA
Rfam family: Bacterial small subunit ribosomal RNA
Source: RNAcentral
AGAGUUUGAUCAUGGCUCAGAUUGAACGCUGGCGGCAGGCCUAACACAUGCAAGUCGAACGGUAACAGGAAGCAGCUUGCUGCUUUGCUGACGAGUGGCGGACGGGUGAGUAAUGUCUGGGAAACUGCCUGAUGGAGGGGGAUAACUACUGGAAACGGUAGCUAAUACCGCAUAACGUCGCAAGACCAAAGAGGGGGACCUUCGGGCCUCUUGCCAUCAGAUGUGCCCAGAUGGGAUUAGCUUGUUGGUGGGGUAACGGCUCACCAAGGCGACGAUCCCUAGCUGGUCUGAGAGGAUGACCAGCCACACUGGAACUGAGACACGGUCCAGACUCCUACGGGAGGCAGCAGUGGGGAAUAUUGCACAAUGGGCGCAAGCCUGAUGCAGCCAUGCCGCGUGUAUGAAGAAGGCCUUCGGGUUGUAAAGUACUUUCAGCGGGGAGGAAGGUGUUGUGGUUAAUAACCACAGCAAUUGACGUUACCCGCAGAAGAAGCACCGGCUAACUCCGUGCCAGCAGCCGCGGUAAUACGGAGGGUGCAAGCGUUAAUCGGAAUUACUGGGCGUAAAGCGCACGCAGGCGGUCUGUUAAGUCAGAUGUGAAAUCCCCGGGCUCAACCUGGGAACUGCAUCUGAUACUGGCAGGCUUGAGUCUCGUAGAGGGGGGUAGAAUUCCAGGUGUAGCGGUGAAAUGCGUAGAGAUCUGGAGGAAUACCGGUGGCGAAGGCGGCCCCCUGGACGAAGACUGACGCUCAGGUGCGAAAGCGUGGGGAGCAAACAGGAUUAGAUACCCUGGUAGUCCACGCCGUAAACGAUGUCGACUUGGAGGUUGUGCCCUUGAGGCGUGGCUUCCGGAGCUAACGCGUUAAGUCGACCGCCUGGGGAGUACGGCCGCAAGGUUAAAACUCAAAUGAAUUGACGGGGGCCCGCACAAGCGGUGGAGCAUGUGGUUUAAUUCGAUGCAACGCGAAGAACCUUACCUGGUCUUGACAUCCACGGAAGUUUUCAGAGAUGAGAAUGUGCCUUCGGGAACCGUGAGACAGGUGCUGCAUGGCUGUCGUCAGCUCGUGUUGUGAAAUGUUGGGUUAAGUCCCGCAACGAGCGCAACCCUUAUCCUUUGUUGCCAGCGGUUAGGCCGGGAACUCAAAGGAGACUGCCAGUGAUAAACUGGAGGAAGGUGGGGAUGACGUCAAGUCAUCAUGGCCCUUACGACCAGGGCUACACACGUGCUACAAUGGCAUAUACAAAGAGAAGCGACCUCGCGAGAGCAAGCGGACCUCAUAAAGUAUGUCGUAGUCCGGAUUGGAGUCUGCAACUCGACUCCAUGAAGUCGGAAUCGCUAGUAAUCGUGGAUCAGAAUGCCACGGUGAAUACGUUCCCGGGCCUUGUACACACCGCCCGUCACACCAUGGGAGUGGGUUGCAAAAGAAGUAGGUAGCUUAACCUUCGGGAGGGCGCUUACCACUUUGUGAUUCAUGACUGGGGUGAAGUCGUAACAAGGUAACCGUAGGGGAACCUGCGGUUGGAUCACCU